CCUACGGGAGGCAGCAGUGGGGAAUAUUGCACAAUGGGCGCAAGCCUGAUGCAGCCAUGCCGCGUGAGUGAAGAAGGCCCUAGGGUUGUAAAACUCUUUCACCGGUGAAGAUAAUGACGGUAGCCGGAGAAGAAGCCCCGGCUAACUCCGUGCCAGCAGCCGCGGU
This 166-nucleotide ribosomal RNA is filed under the name uncultured bacterium. Its description in RNAcentral is "partial 16S ribosomal RNA". It matches the Rfam family "Bacterial small subunit ribosomal RNA", at positions 338 to 521 of the family's 1533-position model. The record is from RNAcentral.